This 637-nucleotide long non-coding RNA is filed under the name Salmo salar (Atlantic salmon). RNAcentral's name for it is "lncRNA (ENSSSAG00000089965.1, ENSSSAG00000101261.1)". The record is from RNAcentral. Lineage: Eukaryota; Metazoa; Chordata; Actinopteri; Salmoniformes; Salmonidae.
UAGCGGAAUCCCACGACAUCCACGCUUCACAACACUCCACCUAAUUGGGGGAGAGGGAGUCCGCAACACGUGUGUGCGUGUGUGCAUGUGUGUGUGCGUGUGUGCGUACUUGUUUGUACGUGUGGGCUUGCGAGAAAGAAAGUAAGGCUUCUAUUCAAUCCGCAUCGUGGAAAUUCAGUUUUACAGCAUGAUUGAAAUUUGAAGGCAAUGAUCCCGCUUUAGCAGAGACUGCGUUCACGCGUUUAGCAGUGACAUCGGAAACGGUGAAGUCGGCGCACGAUACCCCCAUGACUGCGUCAUUGGAUCACGAAACGGGGGAAGCUGCGUUGCAGUCCGUGCGCUGGGUCAGGGUGCCCCCUCCACCAAGGGAAGCUGCAUUGCAGCCCGUGCACCCUCCACACAGGGCGGGAUGAAGUCCGUGAGGCCCCGGUUCCCAAGCGUGACCCGCAGGUGCCAGGAGUGAGGGGGAAAGUUUGGCCACAGGGGUCGAGGGUCCAUCCACAUCUGCGUCCACGUCUACAGUUCGUGUGUCGACCGCCUCAGUCCUGCAAACCCAGAACGAGUUGAACACAUUGGUUGGGCAGAUUGUGACUGAACUUGCAAGAAUGCGCAGGGUUUUAAUUCAUUUACAUAAUGC